Long non-coding RNA from Brassica rapa (field mustard), 1242 nucleotides. RefSeq lists it as uncharacterized. Lineage: Eukaryota; Viridiplantae; Streptophyta; Magnoliopsida; Brassicales; Brassicaceae. The record is from RefSeq and is a predicted model, not a curated record.
UGUUUUUUAUUUCUUUAUUUUAACUUUUUAUUAAAAAUAUAUUUUGGAUAACAACACAAUAUAUAUGAAUUAUUUUUAAACAAAUAUAUUUUUCAGAUUUUGGAUAAUUUUAAUCAUUUUCUAAUCAAAUAAUAUUUAAAUUCUUUUAUUUUUAACUAAUUUAUAUAUUUUAUUCAUUAAGAAUAUAAACGAUAUUAAUCAUUCUAAUUUUAACGUAAACGCUCUGUUGCGAAACAUUACUUAUGAGUAUUAAAUAAAUAAAUUAUUAGUUAGAGAAAAAAUAUAUGUCGUGCAAGUGUGUAAUAAAAUCUAUAUAUAUAUAAAAAUGUUUGCCUCUCUCCUGUUACGCCACCUCAGCGCCAGGUCAGAAAGUCGAAAAUUCCUGUGCUGACACGUGUCUCGGUUUACUCAAUUAAAAAUCGAUUGCUUUUCUGUUUUCGAUAUUGAUAGUGACUUAUUUCUGGGCCCAAAUCUAUAUAGGUCCAUAUCGACAUUAUCUUCUUUCAACCUCACAAUUUUAGGGUUCAUCAGUUCUACGACUAUUGGCUUCUGUCAACCAACAAUGGUGGUUCUGAGAUUGCGUGUGACCUGACGAUUUUUCAACAAUCUUCCCGUCGGACUCAUGACAUUUUAAAUUGAUGCUUCACCUCCGAAACGUUACAAGUCGCAUUAAUUGGGUAUCAUUAACCCAAACUUAACUCUUCCUCACAACUACGACCACAAUCUCUAAUUCAAUGAAUCUUAUCUAUCAUCUAAUCGGUGAUUCUCACCUAUAAAAAGUAUUCGAGACCAGCGAAUUUUUUCGCGACCGGCGAUUUGAAAUGAAAGCUGAGCCAUGGACCUCCGGGAAUCUAUGGGCGCAUGGGCAACAAGUCAUCCCGGAUUGGCAUUUCAACCCGUCGUUAUAUCAAUUGAGCGGAUGUGAGGGGAUGGGGACUGCAGAGAUAGAGGAUUUCACGCAAGUUUGUUUCUUGAGGCAGAGAUGGCCGUGGCAGUUGGAGCAAAUAUUCAUGGUGGUGGGGCAGCCGAGGAAGCCGCAGAUGAUAGAACACAGACGGUGGCCUUCCGGCGUCUGACGUUGAUGCUAUUCCGCCAUAGAUCUUGAGGGAAAGUUCGAUGCUUUAAAUCAAAAAUCAAUAAAAGACAAUUGAUUUAAAGAGAUAACGAGUUUGCAGAAUCUAGAAAAAAACAUGACACGAACCAGAAUCUGGUCACCAAGAGAAACACAAAAAAAAAAACAAA